CACUAUCGUUAACUGAAUACAUAGGUUAACGAGGCGAACCGGGGGAACUGAAACAUCUAAGUACCCCGAGGAAAAGAAAUCAACCGAGAUUCCCCCAGUAGCGGCGAGCGAACGGGGAGCAGCCCAGAGUCUGAAUCAGCUUGUGUGUUAGUGGAACGGUCUGGAAAGUCCGACGGUACAGGGUGAUAGUCCCGUACACCAAAAUGCACAGGCUGUGAACUCGAAGAGUAGGGCGGGACACGUGGUAUCCUGUCUGAAUAUGGGGGGACCAUCCUCCAAGGCUAAAUACUCCUGACUGACCGAUAGUGAACCAGUACCGUGAGGGAAAGGCGAAAAGAACCCCGGCGAGGGGAGUGAAAAAGAACCUGAAACCGUGUACGUACAAGCAGUGGGAGCACCUUCGGGUGUGACUGCGUACCUUUUGUAUAAUGGGUCAGCGACUUAUAUUCUGUAGCAAGGUUAACCGUAUAGGGGAGCCGCAGGGAAACCGAGUCUUAACUGGGCGUUAAGUUGCAGGGUAUAGACCCGAAACCCGGUGAUCUAGCCAUGGGCAGGUUGAAGGUUGGGUAACACUAACUGGAGGACCGAACCGACUAAUGUUGAAAAAUUAGCGGAUGACUUGUGGCUGGGGGUGAAAGGCCAAUCAAACCGGGAGAUAGCUGGUUCUCCCCGAAAGCUAUUUAGGUAGCGCCUCGUGAAUUCAUCUUCGGGGGUAGAGCACUGUUUCGGCUAGGGGGUCAUCCCGACUUACCAACCCGAUGCAAACUACGAAUACCGAAGAAUGUUAUCACGGGAGACACACGGCGGGUGCUAACGUCCGUCGUGAAGAGGGAAACAACCCAGACCGCCAGCUAAGGUCCCAAAGUCAUGGUUAAGUGGGAAACGAUGUGGGAAGGCACAGACAGCCAGGAUGUUGGCUUAGAAGCAGCCAUCAUUUAAAGAAAGCGUAAUAGCUCACUGGUCGAGUCGGCCUGCGCGGAAGAUGUAACGGGGCUAAACCAUGCACCGAAGCUGCGGCAGCGACGCUUAUGCGUUGUUGGGUAGGGGAGCGUUCUGUAAGCCUGCGAAGGUGGCCUGUGAGGGCUGCUGGAGGUAUCAGAAGUGCGAAUGCUGACAUAAGUAACGAUAAAGCGGGUGAAAAGCCCGCUCGCCGGAAGACCAAGGGUUCCUGUCCAACGUUAAUCGGGGCAGGGUGAGUCGACCCCUAAGGCGAGGCCGAAAGGCGUAGUCGAUGGGAAACAGGUUAAUAUUCCUGUACUUGGUGUUACUGCGAAGGGGGGACGGAGAAGGCUAUGUUAGCCGGGCGACGGUUGUCCCGGUUUAAGCAUGUAGGCGGAGGUUCCAGGUAAAUCCGGUACCUUUUAACGCUGAGGUGUGAUGACGAGGCACUACGGUGCUGAAGUAACAAAUGCCCUGCUUCCAGGAAAAGCCUCUAAGCAUCAGGUAACAUUAAAUCGUACCCCAAACCGACACAGGUGGUCAGGUAGAGAAUACCAAGGCGCUUGAGAGAACUCGGGUGAAGGAACUAGGCAAAAUGGUGCCGUAACUUCGGGAGAAGGCACGCUGGUGUGUAGGUGAAGUCCCUGCGGACGGAGCUGAGACCAGUCGAAGAUACCAGCUGGCUGCAACUGUUUAUUAAAAACACAGCACUGUGCAAACACGAAAGUGGACGUAUACGGUGUGACGCCUGCCCGGUGCCGGAAGGUUAAUUGAUGGGGUUAUCCGUAAGGAGAAGCUCUUGAUCGAAGCCCCGGUAAACGGCGGCCGUAACUAUAACGGUCCUAAGGUAGCGAAAUUCCUUGUCGGGUAAGUUCCGACCUGCACGAAUGGCGUAAUGAUGGCCAGGCUGUCUCCACCCGAGACUCAGUGAAAUUGAACUCGCUGUGAAGAUGCAGUGUACCCGCGGCAAGACGGAAAGACCCCGUGAACCUUUACUAUAGCUUGACACUGAACAUUGAGCCUUGAUGUGUAGGAUAGGUGGGAGGCUUUGAAGCGUGGACGCCAGUCUGCGUGGAGCCAACCUUGAAAUACCACCCUUUAAUGUUUGAUGUUCUAACGUUGGCCCGUAAUCCGGGUUGCGGACAGUGUCUGGUGGGUAGUUUGACUGGGGCGGUCUCCUCCCAAAGAGUAACGGAGGAGCACGAAGGUUAGCUAAUCCUGGUCGGACAUCAGGAGGUUAGUGCAAUGGCAUAAGCUAGCUUGACUGCGAGCGUGACGGCGCGAGCAGGUGCGAAAGCAGGUCAUAGUGAUCCGGUGGUUCUGAAUGGAAGGGCCAUCGCUCAACGGAUAAAAGGUACUCCGGGGAUAACAGGCUGAUACCGCCCAAGAGUUCAUAUCGACGGCGGUGUUUGGCACCUCGAUGUCGGCUCAUCACAUCCUGGGGCUG
Molecule: ribosomal RNA, 2386 nt
Filed under: soil metagenome
Description: bacterial LSU rRNA
Rfam family: Bacterial large subunit ribosomal RNA
Source: RNAcentral